AUAAUUGAGUGGAGGUGACAAUUACUUUAUUAAGGAUUAAGAAAGUAAGAAAAGUUUGAAAAUAACCUACAAUUUUUUUAAUUUACACUUUGAUUCAAUGCAAAACCUAAUAUAACUAGAAAUUGAGGGGAAAAAAGCACUUUUCUCUCUCUUCUCAUUUAUUGGAGUUUUCUCUCUCUUCGUGAGUUUUGUCGUUCAUUAUUGUUGCUUUAUUCAUCAUCUUUUUCUUCAUUAUCAUCAUCUUGUUCUUCAUUAUCAUCUCUUCUUGUUCAUCAUCAUCAUCUACUUGUUGUUGAACAUUGUUGUUACCACUACUAUUGCUACAUGAUCAAAUUUUUUUAGGUCAAAUUUUAUUCGUAUAUCACUUGGAAUUACUUAUAGGUGAUUUUAAUAAGUAAAAUUAUAAUUUUUAGUUGAAUUUCUCAUCUGGGUGUAUCUGCUACUGUUGUUUUUUCAUCAAUAGAUAAAACAUGUAACGUGAAUCUAACAUAUGAGUAAUCUAUUGCACAAAUGAGUAAUCUGUUGCAACAUAUAUGAGUAAUCUGUUGCACAGAUGAGUAAUCUGUUGCAACAUAUAUGACUAAUCUGUUGCACAGAUGAUAAUUCGUUGCAACAUAUUGACUAAUUUGUUGCCACAUAUUGACUAAUCUGUUGCAACAGAUGAGUAAUCUGUUACAACAUAUAUGACUAAUUUGUUGCAACAGAUUACUCAUCUGUUGAAUUCAUAUUAUAGUGUUGUAACAUGAAUCCAAUAUAUGGGUCAUCUGUUGCAACAGAUUAGUCAUAUGUUGCAACAGAUUACUCACUUGUUGCAACAAAUGACUCAUAUGUUGAAUUCAUGUUGCAAGUUCUAUCCAUUGUAGCAGUAGCAGAUAUACCAAAUAAAAAAUUCAACAAAAAUCAUAAUUAUACUUACAAAAUCACCUAUGAAGUAAUGUCCAAGUGAUAUACAAACAAAAUUUGACCAAAAAAAAUUUCAAAAAUUUCAACAAGGGCACAACGAAUAAGUGAAACGCAUGAAAAUUUUUAUGAAACAGGUAAAGAAGACAAAAAUAGUGUAUCAUACAUUAAAUGGAAAAGGAUCAAGGGAACAAACGUUUGAGUUCUCCUAAAAACAUUUAAGUUCCCCAGUAUUUUAAUUGCUUUCUAAUGGAUAACCCAUCUAUUAUAACAUAUUUUCUAUCUAUUUGAUAAUUUUCAAUAGAUGAAUUAGUUGUUGCAACAAGUGAGUCAUUUGUUGCAACAGAUGUUUAUAUCUGUUUGGUUAUUUUCAACAAAUAUUUUUAUUUGUUUGGUCAUUUCCAACAGAGUACUCAUCUAUUGUAACAUGUUAGUCAUCUAUUGAUUCACAUUAAGUCAUUAUUAGUAAUAACUAAAUUAAUUACUAAAAUAAAAUAUGAAUUAAUAAGUUCAAUUGUAGUUUCAAUUAAUCUCAUGGUAAUUACACGAUCAACUCAGUAUGUUCGUCCUGAGUGGAGUGAUCAAUUGAUCAGUUUUCUUUGAAAUAAUUCAACCUAAGUCAUCAUUAGAUUAGAAAUAACUAUGUUUAUUUAACUCAAAUUAAAGAUGAAUUAGUAAGUUCAAUUACGAUUUCAAUUAAUCUCAUAGUAAUUGCAUGAUCAAUUAAGUGUUUCGUACUGAGUAGAAUGAUUAAUUGACCAAUUUUAUGUGAAAUAAUUCAAAUUUAACCAUUAUUAGAAAUAAUUAAUCUCGGUAAUUACAUGAUCAAUUAAGUGUUUCAUCCUUAGUAGAAUAUUUAAUUGAUCAAUUUUAUUUUAAAUGAUUCAAAUUAAGCCAUUAUUAGUAAUAACUAUGCUUAUUUAACUAAAAUUAAAUAUGAAUUAAUGAGUUCACUUACAAUUUCAAUUAAUCUCAUCGUAAUUACAUGAUUAUCUAAGUCUAUUCAUUCCGAGUAGAGUGAUCAAUCGACUAAUUUUAUUUGAAAUAAUUCAAAUUAAGUCAUUAUUAGUAAUAACUAAAUUGAUUUAACUAAAAUUAAAGAUAAACUUGCUAUUUCAAUUAAUCUCAUAGUAAUUAAAUGAUCAACUAAAUGUAUUCGUCAUGAGUAGAGUGAUCAAUUGACAAAUUUUAUUUGAAAUGGAUCAAAUUAAGCCAUUAUUCGUAAUAACUAAAUUGAUAUAACUAAAUUAAAGAUGAAUUAAUAAGUUCACUUACAAUUUCAAUUAAUCUAAUAGUAAUUACAUGAUCAACUAUGUGUAUUCAUCUCGAGGAGAGUUAUCAAUCGACCAAUUUUAUUUGAAAUGAUUCAAAUUAAGUCAUUAUUAGUAAUAACUAAAUUGAUUUUGACUAAAUUAAAGAUGAAUUGAUAAGUCCACUUACAAUUUCAAUUAAUGUAUUCCUUAAUAGAAUGAUCAAUUGAUAAAUUUUAUUUAAAAUGAUUCAAAUUAAGCAAUUAUUAGUAAUAACUAAAUUGAUUUAACUAAAAUUAAAGACAAGACCUCAGACAAGGGGACAAAUAUUUGAGUUCUCUUAAAAACAUAUGAGCUUUAGUAUUUUAAAUUAUUUUCAAUAUAUGUCCAAUAUGUUUGAUAAUUUUCAACAAAUGAGUCAUCUGAUGCAACAACUUAGUUCUCUGUUGCAACAGAUGUCUAUAUUUUUUAUUAAUUUUCAAUAGAUGAGUCAUUUAUUGCAAUAGGUUAGUCAUCUGUUGCAACAUAUGUCUAUAUUUGUUUGGUUAUUUCCAACAGAUGUCUUUAUCUGUUUGGUUAUUUCCAACAGAUGUCUUUAGUUGUUUAGUCAUUUUUAACAGAUUACUCAUCUUUUGCAACAUGUUAGUCAUCUAUUGAUUCAUAAUAAGCCAUUAUAUUAGUAAUAAAUAAAUUUAUUUAAAUAGAAUUAAACAUGAAUUAAUAAGUUCAAUUACAGUUUCAAUUAAUCUCAUGGUUAUUACACUAUCAACUAAGUGUGUUCAUCCUUAGUAGAGUGAUCAAUUGAUUAAUUUUAUUUGGAAUGAUUAAAACCAAACCAUAAUUAGAAAUAACUAUAUUGAUUUAACUAAAAUUAAAGAUGAAUUAAUAAGUUGACUUACAAUUUCAAUUAAUUUUAUAGUAAUUACAUGAUCAACUAAGUGUUUCGUCUUAAGUAGAAUGAUCAAUUGACCAAAGGCUACACUUCCGCAAGUUGAAUUGCUUGAGGCUUGAAUUAUUACUGUGAUUAAUAAAGCAAUGAGAUAUGUAAAUCUAAACCUCCCCUUUCCGUUAAGGCACCACCCCACGUCAUGUGCUCCUUCUUGUUAACGUUGAUAUAACCGAGAGUAGAAUCUUUAUAUUGCCUUACAUAUCCUUCCCUCGUUGUACUAUCAAGCUUAUAGGUACUUAUCUUUCCCUCUUUGUGUUAUGUUUUCAUGAAACUUCCAUAUUAUUAUAAGUUCCUCUACUUGAAGCCUUUAGGAAACAAUAUAUAUAUAUAUAUAUAUAUAUAUAUAUAUCACACGUUAGGAGUAAAAGUAAAUAGUAAUAGCAUAGUUGUACUUGUAUAUAUUAGGUAGACAACCAUUAUCUUAAUUCACAUGUUAUAGGCCUUCAAGGCAUUAAUUGAUAAGCAUUGCGAUGGGAGGGUACAUAGGUUUGGCUUGGCAUACUGCUCGACGUGAUUCUGUGCACAAGAUCGAGACCAUACCAUUAUAGUGAGCCCAUAUACUGGGGCGUACCCAUUUUUGUGGAAUCAUUUGUAUUUGGAGUCAGCUGGAAUGUCAUGUACUAGUUUCCCCUGACUCGAGCCAAUAUAUGGCAUAUAUGGCCUGCGGGCAGGCCCUCAUAGUGAGCCCCUGGGUGGAGCAUACCUAGUUACAGACUGUGAUUACAAUUAUACAUAUGGGAUCAUAGCAAUAAUUAUUUGAGUAGCAUAUGCUUUAUACUUGCCUCAGAUUGCCUUAGGUAGGCCAUUUUGUGAUUAUUUGUAUUACUUAUAGGAUGCUUACAUCACCUAGAUAAAUUAUAGUCGCUAUAUUAUUAUGAACACCUUUCUAAACAUUACACAAAAAUUCCUGUAAGAUUGGUGCAUAGGUUACCAGUUCAUAUCUUAUAUGUGUUAUUAUUGGCUCUUAAUUUUCACUUUAAUGUUUGACUCGUAUGAGAUUUUGUACUUGUUCAACUGUUAUUCUGUCUACUUUCAUACUAGUACAUGUUAUUUUAUGUACUGACAUUCUAGGGGCACUAUAUUUUAUUGAUGCAGGCUUAGGCCCUCAGGAUAGAAGACGUCCACAUUAGGCCCUGUUGUCGUUUUCAGCUGGUAUUUUGGUGAGCUCCUUCUCUUUUUGGAGCUGGCCUAUGUAUAGUAUUUUUUAUUACAUGUACGGGUUCUUAGUUGCGCAUGAAGGGCCCUAUACUGACUAGUCACUUGUAUUAUAGCGUGUUAAACUGACUCGAGGCUUCAUGGACAUCGUGUAAGAUUGUAUUGUAUAGUUUUGUUAAUGUAACUCCCUCGUGUAUAUAUGCAACUCUUAUUGAAUAUUUUGCCCGUUAUUAUCUCAUAACCUUGUGUAUGUCUUAAAGUGAUUGUAGAUUAAGUGUAUAUGGUUCUUGUCCAUCAUUAUCGUCUUGGGGCAUGACAACAACGAAUGAAGAAAUCUAAAAUCAUUAAGGAUUAUUCUAACAGGUUGCUUGUGAUUUCAAAUAAGGUAAGAAUACUUAGAACUGAAUUUAAUGACAAUAGAAUAGUUCAAAAGAUGCUUGUAACCUUACCUGAGAGAAAUAACGUAACUAUUGCUUCAUUGGACAAUACUAAAGAUCUAUCAAAGCUUAGCUUGGCAGAGUUAUUCAGUGCUCUGUAGGCACAAGAACAAUGAAGGAUGAUGAGGCAAGAGGGAUCCAUCGAGGUAGCC
Molecule: long non-coding RNA, 4843 nt
Filed under: Capsicum annuum
Lineage: Eukaryota; Viridiplantae; Streptophyta; Magnoliopsida; Solanales; Solanaceae
Description: long non-coding RNA (CANN_LNC014601)
Source: RNAcentral